UUCACGGCCCUGAUCGAAGUCGUUCCCGUUCCUCUAUAACUGGUUCGGUCAAACAGGAGCCGAUAGCAACACUUUUACCGACGGUCGCUGUACAGCUCACCUGUAGCUGUCCCAGCAACAUUAAGGAAAAGGACAACC
This is a small nucleolar RNA of Sinocyclocheilus anshuiensis, 138 nucleotides long. The record is from Ensembl. NCBI's taxonomy places the organism in Eukaryota, Metazoa, Chordata, Actinopteri, Cypriniformes, Cyprinidae.